This 1341-nucleotide ribosomal RNA is filed under the name uncultured bacterium. Its description in RNAcentral is "16S ribosomal RNA". It matches the Rfam family "Bacterial small subunit ribosomal RNA", at positions 28 to 1381 of the family's 1533-position model. The record is from RNAcentral.
GACGAACGCUGGCGGCGUGCUUAACACAUGCAAGUCGAACGGUAAGGCUCCAGCUUGCUGGGGUACACGAGUGGCGAACGGGUGAGUAACACGUGGGUGACCUGCCCUGCACUUCGGGAUAAGCCUGGGAAACUGGGUCUAAUACCGGAUAGGACCGCACCGUGAGGGUGUGGUGGAAAGUUUUUUCGGUGUGGGAUGGGCCCGCGGCCUAUCAGCUUGUUGGUGGGGUAAUGGCCUACCAAGGCGGCGACGGGUAGCCGGCCUGAGAGGGUGGACGGCCACAUUGGGACUGAGACACGGCCCAGACUCCUACGGGAGGCAGCAGUGGGGAAUAUUGCACAAUGGGCGGAAGCCUGAUGCAUCGACGCCACGUGCGGGAUGACGGCCUUCAGGGUGUAAACUCCUUUCACCAUCGACGAAAGGUUUCUGACAGUAGAUGGAGAAGAAGCACCGGCUAACUACGUGCCAGCAGCCGCGGUGAUACGUAAGGUGCGAGCGUUGUCCGGAAUUACUGGGCGUAAAGAGCUCGUAAGUGGUUUGUCGCGUCGUCUGUGAAAUUCCGGGGCUUAACUCCGGGCGUGCAGGCGAUACGGGCAUAACUUGAGUACUGUAGGGGAGACUGGAAUUCCUGGUGUAGCGGUGAAAUGCGCAGAUAUCAGGAGGAACACCGGUGGCGAAGGCGGGUCUCUGGGCAGUAACUGACGCUGAGGAGCGAAAGCAUGGGGAGCGAACAGGAUUAGAUACCCUGGUAGUCCAUGCCGUAAACGGUGGGCGCUAGGUGUGGGUUUCCUUCCACGGGAUCCGUGCCGUAGCUAACGCAUUAAGCGCCCCGCCUGGGGAGUACGGCCGCAAGGCUAAAACUCAAAGGAAUUGACGGGGGCCCGCACAAGCGGCGGAGCAUGUGGAUUAAUUCGAUGCAACGCGAAGAACCUUACCUGGGCUUGACAUAUACAGGAUCGCGCCAGAGAUGGUGUUUCCCUUGUGGCUUGUAUACAGGUGGUGCAUGGUUGUCGUCAGCUCGUGUCGUGAGAUGUUGGGUUAAGUCCCGCAACGAGCGCAACCCUUGUCUUAUGUUGCCAGCACGUUGUGGUGGGGACUCGUAAGAAACUGCCGGGGUUAACUCGGAGGAAGGUGGGGAUGACGUCAAAUCAUCAUGCCCCUUAUGUCCAGGGCUUCACACAUGCUACAAUGGUCGGUACAGUGGGUUGCCAGUCCGUGAGGGCGAGCUAAUCCCGCAAAGCCGGUCUCAGUUCGGAUCGGGGUCUGCAACUCGACCCCGUGAAGUCGGAGUCGCUAGUAAUCGCAGAUCAGCACCGCUGCGGUGAAUACCUUGCCGGGCCU